AUUGAACGCUGGCGGCAGGCUUAACACAUGCAAGUCGAACGAUGAUUAUCUAGCUUGCUAGAUAUGAUUAGUGGCGGACGGGUGAGUAACAUUUAGGAAUCUGCCUAGUAGUGGGGGAUAGCUCGGGGAAACUCGAAUUAAUACCGCAUACGACCUACGGGUGAAAGGGGGCGCAAGCUCUUGCUAUUAGAUGAGCCUAAAUCAGAUUAGCUAGUUGGUGGGGUAAAGGCCCACCAAGGCGACGAUCUGUAACUGGUCUGAGAGGAUGAUCAGUCACACCGGAACUGAGACACGGUCCGGACUCCUACGGGAGGCAGCAGUGGGGAAUAUUGGACAAUGGGGGCAACCCUGAUCCAGCCAUGCCGCGUGUGUGAAGAAGGCCUUUUGGUUGUAAAGCACUUUAAGCAGGGAGGAGAGGCUAAUGGUUAAUACCCAUUAGAUUAGACGUUACCUGCAGAAUAAGCACCGGCUAACUCUGUGCCAGCAGCCGCGGUAAUACAGAGGGUGCGAGCGUUAAUCGGAAUUACUGGGCGUAAAGCGAGUGUAGGUGGCUCAUUAAGUCACAUGUGAAAUCCCCGGGCUUAACCUGGGAACUGCAUGUGAUACUGGUGGUGCUAGAAUAUGUGGGAGGGAAGUAGAAUUCCAGGUGUAGCGGUGAAAUGCGUAGAGAUCUGGAGGAAUACCGAUGGCGAAGGCAGCUUCCUGGCAUAAUAUUGACACUGAGAUUCGAAAGCGUGGGUAGCAAACAGGAUUAGAUACCCUGGUAGUCCACGCCGUAAACGAUGUCUACUAGCCGUUGGGGUCCUUGAGACUUUAGUGGCGCAGUUAACGCGAUAAGUAGACCGCCUGGGGAGUACGGCCGCAAGGUUAAAACUCAAAUGAAUUGACGGGGGCCCGCACAAGCGGUGGAGCAUGUGGUUUAAUUCGAUGCAACGCGAAGAACCUUACCUGGUCUUGACAUAGUGAGAAUCCUGCAGAGAUGCGGGAGUGCCUUCGGGAAUUCACAUACAGGUGCUGCAUGGCUGUCGUCAGCUCGUGUCGUGAGAUGUUGGGUUAAGUCCCGCAACGAGCGCAACCCUUUUCCUUAUUUGCCAGCGGGUUAAGCCGGGAACUUUAAGGAUACUGCCAGUGACAAACUGGAGGAAGGCGGGGACGACGUCAAGUCAUCAUGGCCCUUACGACCAGGGCUACACACGUGCUACAAUGGUAGGUACAGAGGGUUGCUACACAGCGAUGUGAUGCUAAUCUCAAAAAGCCUAUCGUAGUCCGGAUUGGAGUCUGCAACUCGACUCCAUGAAGUCGGAAUCGCUAGUAAUCGCAGAUCAGAAUGCUGCGGUGAGUACGUUCCCGGGCCU
Molecule: ribosomal RNA, 1355 nt
Filed under: uncultured bacterium
Lineage: Bacteria
Description: bacterial SSU rRNA
Rfam family: Bacterial small subunit ribosomal RNA
Source: RNAcentral